RNAcentral lists this unclassified non-coding RNA (502 nucleotides) under Hevea brasiliensis (rubber tree). The record is from RNAcentral. Lineage: Eukaryota; Viridiplantae; Streptophyta; Magnoliopsida; Malpighiales; Euphorbiaceae.
AACCCGCAAACCCUCGCCUCCUCCGAAACACUACACACAUAAACCAAAAACUAUCUUUCUCUCUCCCCGCUGCCAAUGGCCAGCCCAGUAACAAUGACGAAGCUAUUCAAAAACUGCAAGUCUCUUCCUAUCCAUCUCCUCCGUGGCUCCAGUAGCAUCCCAAUGGAAACCAAGAUUGUUGGCAAGAGACCGAGCCCUAUCUCUGUCCAGUAUUUCCUCGGGAGUCAGCCUAAUCUUGGCUCUGUUCAUCAUGGUACUAUUAAUGGCACCAACACGCUUCUGCUGUCGAGAUUUCAUGGCUCUAAAGGUUACGGUCGGAGGAAAUAUCCAACCGACGGCGACGACGACGACGACGACGAUGAUGAUGAUUUAGUUGGAGAGGAUUUUGUUGACGACUAUGAGAAUGAUGAUAAUGAGUUUGAUUUUGAUGAUGAUGAUGAUGAUUAUGAUGAUGCUCCUGCUAAGAAACGAAACAAAUGAAUGUAAGAUUUGGAAUGCUUGA